UCUUUUUGGCAUUAGAAAUAUGGGAUGCCCCAUAUUUUAUGGCAUGAAAAAAAUAUAUGAUGCCUCCUCCUAACCCUAGUCUCCAUGCCUCCCUAUAAAAGGGCUCCAAUAGUUGGAUGCCCAAGAAUUAAAAGAUCAAUUCUUCUCUAAGCCGAGCCUCUUCUCUCAUCCUCUUCCCUCUUCCUCCAGUUCUUCUUGAUCCCAUAGAGUGUCUGUGAGAUUUGAAGAAGAAGCCAGAUCAACCAUCAAAGAAGAAUCUCUGCAAAGGAGCUAGCAUCCUGGGGAGGUCAUCUCAUCUUUGAUCGAAAUAAGUCUUCAUGUGGAUAUCUA
Molecule: long non-coding RNA, 330 nt
Filed under: Elaeis guineensis (African oil palm)
Lineage: Eukaryota; Viridiplantae; Streptophyta; Magnoliopsida; Arecales; Arecaceae
Description: long non-coding RNA (EGUI_LNC065906)
Source: RNAcentral